This 253-nucleotide ribosomal RNA is filed under the name uncultured bacterium. RNAcentral's name for it is "partial 16S ribosomal RNA". It matches the Rfam family "Bacterial small subunit ribosomal RNA", at positions 524 to 776 of the family's 1533-position model. The record is from RNAcentral.
UACGAAGGGUGCUAGCGUUGUUCGGAAUCACUGGGCGUAAAGCGCACGAAGGCGGUUUGUUAAGUCGGGGGUGAAAUCCUGAGGCUCAACCUCAGAACUGCCUUCGAUACUGGCAAUCUCGAGUCCGGAAGAGGUUGGUGGAACAGCUAGUGUAGAGGUGAAAUUCGUAGAUAUUAGCUAGAACACCAGUGGCGAAGGCGGCCAACUGGUCAGGUACUGACGCUGAGGUGCGAAAGCGUGGGGAGCAAACAGG